RNAcentral lists this ribosomal RNA (502 nucleotides) under uncultured Desulfobulbus sp. Its description in RNAcentral is "bacterial SSU rRNA". It matches the Rfam family "Bacterial small subunit ribosomal RNA", at positions 903 to 1382 of the family's 1533-position model. The record is from RNAcentral. Lineage: Bacteria; Pseudomonadati; Thermodesulfobacteriota; Desulfobulbia; Desulfobulbales; Desulfobulbaceae.
CCCGCUCAAGAAACUUAAAUAGAAGUUGACGGGGGCCCGCACAAGCGGUGGAGUAUGUGGUUUAAUUCGAUGCAACGCGAAGAACCUUACCUGGUCUUGACAUCCCGGAGACCCUUAGGAAACUAGGGGGUGCUUCCAUCUGGAAGAAUCUGGAGACAGGUGCUGCAUGGCUGUCGUCAGCUCGUGUCGUGAGAUGUUGGGUUAAGUCCCGCAACGAGCGCAACCCUUGCCUUUAGUUGCCAGCAGUUCGGCUGGGCACUCUAAAGGGACUGCCGGUGUUAAACCGGAGGAAGGUGGGAUGACGUCAAGUCCUCAUGGCCUUUAUGACCAGGGCUACACACGUACUACAAUGGCCGAUACAAAGGGCAGCGACACUGCGAGGUGAAGCCAAUCCCGUAAAAUCGGUCUCAGUCCGGAUUGGAGUCUGCAACUCGACUCCAUGAAGUUGGAAUCGCUAGUAAUCGUGGAUCAGCAUGCCACGGUGAAUACGUUCCCGGGCCUU